This 318-nucleotide ribosomal RNA is filed under the name Triticum aestivum (bread wheat). RNAcentral's name for it is "partial small subunit ribosomal RNA". Lineage: Eukaryota; Viridiplantae; Streptophyta; Magnoliopsida; Poales; Poaceae. The record is from RNAcentral.
AUGCUGCGCUCCACUACGGCCACCUGCUGCGAUCGUGUGCCCAAAAAGAAAAGCAGAGGCCGGCUGCCCACGCUGGCUAAAAGAAAAAAGUCAAGGGAGUCGGCUGCUCAGCAAAAAAAAAAGGAGAAACAUGCGCGCCCGCCUGCCGACGGCCGGCGGAAGAAAGAACAAAAAGGGCGCUGCCAGAUGCCUCAUCGCCUGGCCGUUGUCCAGCCGGCUCGCCCGCGUCACGCUCAUCUCCUGGCCAGUCAAGCUCGACCGGCUGGACCCUCCUCGAGCGCCCAGAGGCUCGGGGGCUAUACCCAAUGGGUGCGCUGA